UUAAGUCCCGCAACGAGCGCAACCCUUAUCCUUGUUGCCAGCGAGUAAUGUCGGGAACUCAAAGGAGGACUGCCGGUGAUAAACCGGAGGAAGGUGGGGAUGACGUCAAGUCAUCAUGGCCCUUACGAGUAGGGCUACACACGUGCUACAAUGGCAUAUACAAAGAGAAGCGAACUCGCGAGAGCAAGCGGACCUCAUAAAGUAUGUCGUAGUCCGGAUUGGAGUCUGCAACUCGACUCCAUGAAGUCGGAAUCGCUAGUAAUCGUAGAUCAGAAUGCCUACGGUCGAAUACGUUCCGGGCCUU
Molecule: ribosomal RNA, 304 nt
Filed under: uncultured Enterobacteriaceae bacterium
Lineage: Bacteria; Pseudomonadati; Pseudomonadota; Gammaproteobacteria; Enterobacterales; Enterobacteriaceae
Description: bacterial SSU rRNA
Rfam family: Bacterial small subunit ribosomal RNA
Source: RNAcentral